RNAcentral lists this ribosomal RNA (232 nucleotides) under uncultured bacterium. RNAcentral's name for it is "partial 16S ribosomal RNA". It matches the Rfam family "Bacterial small subunit ribosomal RNA", at positions 99 to 334 of the family's 1533-position model. The record is from RNAcentral.
CGGACGGGUGAGUAAUGUCUGGGAAACUGCCUGAUGGAGGGGGGUAACUACUGGAAACGGUAGCUAAUACCGCAUAACGUCGCAAGACCAAAGAGGGGGACCUUCGGGCCUCUUGCCAUCGGAUGUGCCCAGAUGGGAUUAGCUUGUUGGUGGGGUAACGGCUCACCAAGGCGACGAUCCCUAGCUGGUCUGAGAGGAUGACCAGCCACACUGGAACUGAGACACGGUCCAG